CCUCGGGAGGCAGCAGUAAGGAAUAUUGGACAAUGCUCGCAAGAGUGAUCCAGCCAUGCCGCGUGCAGGAAGAAUGCCCUAUGGGUAGUAAACUGCUUUUGAACUAGAGAAAACCCCAGUACGUGUACUGGGCUGAUAGUAUAGUUAGAAUAAGCAUCGGCUAACUUCGUGCCAGCAGCCGCGGUAAGACGAAGGAUGCAAGCGUUAUCCGGAUUCAUUGGGUUUAAAGGGAGCGUAGGUGGACUGAUAAGUCAGUGGUGAAAUCUCCGAGCUUAACUCGGAAAUUGCCAUUGAUACUGUUGGUCUUGAGUACAGUUGCUGUGGGCGGAAUAUGACAUGUAGUGGUGAAAUACAUAGAGAUGUCAUAGAACACCGAUUGCGAAGGCAGCUCACAAAGCUGUAACUGACACUAGAGGCGUCGAAACGUAGUCGGGGAGGUACAAACAAGGAGUAGAUACCUACGUAGUACGUCACCGUAAACCGAACUGAGUUAACUUACGUCUGUCGUACGGGGUACGGGAACCUUUAACCGUUUAGGUCGUUACGUACGGAAACGGAACGGACGUAAGUUAAAGUUACCCUACCCGUACGGGGUAGGGUAACCGUCCCGGGCCGACCGGUACGGUAACGUAACCGAACGGAAAGUUAGUUACGGGACCGUUGAGGACGUUGGCCGACGGACGCACC
This 687-nucleotide ribosomal RNA is filed under the name uncultured bacterium. RNAcentral describes it as "bacterial SSU rRNA". The stretch from base 1 to 475 matches the Rfam family "Bacterial small subunit ribosomal RNA", at positions 339 to 873 of the family's 1533-position model. The record is from RNAcentral.